ACCCGCACAAGCGGUGGAUGAUGUGGUUUAAUUCGAUGCAACGCGAAAACCUUACCCACCUUUGACAUGUACGGAAUCCUUUAGAGAUAGAGGAGUGCUCGAAAGAGAGCCGUAACACAGGUGCUGCAUGGCUGUCGUCAGCUCGUGUCGUGAGAUGUUGGGUUAAGUCCCGCAACGAGCGCAACCCUUGUCAUUAGUUGCUACGAAAGGGCACUCUAAUGAGACUGCCGGUGACGAACCGGAGGAAGGUGGGGAUGACGUCAAGUCCUCAUGGCCCUUAUAGGUGGGGCUACACACGUCAUACAAUGGCUGGUACAAAGGGUUGCCAACCCGCGAGGGGGAGCCAAUCCCAUAAAGCCAGUCGUAGUCCGGAUCGCAGUCUGCAACUCGACUGCGUGAAGUCGGAAUCGCUAGUAAUCGUGGAUCAGCAUGUCACGGUGAAUACGUUCCCGGGUCUU
RNAcentral lists this ribosomal RNA (458 nucleotides) under uncultured Comamonas sp. RNAcentral describes it as "bacterial SSU rRNA". It matches the Rfam family "Bacterial small subunit ribosomal RNA", at positions 919 to 1382 of the family's 1533-position model. Lineage: Bacteria; Pseudomonadati; Pseudomonadota; Betaproteobacteria; Burkholderiales; Comamonadaceae. The record is from RNAcentral.